GACGAACGCUGGCGGCGUGCCUAAUACAUGCAAGUUGAGCGCUGAAGGUUGGUACUUGUACCAACUGGAUGAGCAGCGAACGGGUGAGUAACGCGUGGGGAAUCUGCCUUUGAGCGGGGGACAACAUUUGGAAACGAAUGCUAAUACCGCAUAAAAACUUUAAACACAAGUUUUAAGUUUGAAAGAUGCAAUUGCAUCACUCAAAGAUGAUCCCGCGUUGUAUUAGCUAGUUGGUGAGGUAAAGGCUCACCAAGGCGAUGAUACAUAGCCGACCUGAGAGGGUGAUCGGCAACAUUGGGACUGAGACACGGCCCAAACUCCUACGGGAGGCAGCAGUAGGGAAUCUUCGGCAAUGGACGAAAGUCUGACCGAGCAACGCCGCGUGAGUGAAGAAGGUUUUCGGAUCGUAAAACUCUGUUGGUAGAGAAGAACGUUGGUGAGAGUGGAAAGCUCAUCAAGUGACGGUAACUACCCAGAAGGGGACGGCUAACUACGUG
RNAcentral lists this ribosomal RNA (497 nucleotides) under uncultured bacterium. RNAcentral's name for it is "partial 16S ribosomal RNA". It matches the Rfam family "Bacterial small subunit ribosomal RNA", at positions 28 to 507 of the family's 1533-position model. The record is from RNAcentral.